GGCCCUAUGGUCAAGAGGUUAAGACGCUGCCCUCUCAAGGCGGAGGCAGGGGUUCAAUUCCCCUUAGGGCUACCA
This 75-nucleotide transfer RNA is filed under the name Sporomusa silvacetica DSM 10669. Its description in RNAcentral is "tRNA-Glu". It matches the Rfam family "tRNA". Rfam says of the family: Transfer RNA (tRNA) molecules are approximately 80 nucleotides in length. Their secondary structure includes four short double-helical elements and three loops (D, anti-codon, and T loops). Further hydrogen bonds mediate the characteristic L-shaped molecular structure. tRNAs have two regions of fundamental functional importance: the anti-codon, which is responsible for specific mRNA codon recognition, and the 3' end, to which the tRNAs corresponding amino acid is attached (by aminoacyl-tRNA synthetases). tRNAs cope with the degeneracy of the genetic code in two manners: having more than one tRNA (with a specific anti-codon) for a particular amino acid; and 'wobble' base-pairing, i.e. permitting non-standard base-pairing at the 3rd anti-codon position. The record is from RNAcentral. Lineage: Bacteria; Bacillati; Bacillota; Negativicutes; Selenomonadales; Sporomusaceae.